CAAGCCAGAAGAGGCGCGUCGCCCAGGUAGGAUGUCGGAGGUUCCGCAACCUGUGAAUACAUCUGAGGGGGAUGCGACGCCGAGAUAUGCGCCACGCGGAGUGGCUCGUAUCGGCUACAGGGGCUGAAUCCCCUGAGUUGUCACCCGGUGUAUUCCAGGCGGAAUACGCUACAAGGUGGGGCGCUUCUGGGAGA
Molecule: non-coding RNA, 194 nt
Filed under: Izhakiella sp.
Lineage: Bacteria; Pseudomonadati; Pseudomonadota; Gammaproteobacteria; Enterobacterales; Erwiniaceae
Description: Lysine sequence
Rfam family: Lysine riboswitch aptamer
About the family: Riboswitches are metabolite binding domains within certain messenger RNAs that serve as precision sensors for their corresponding targets. Allosteric rearrangement of mRNA structure is mediated by ligand binding, and this results in modulation of gene expression. This family includes riboswitches that sense lysine in a number of genes involved in lysine metabolism, including lysC.
Source: RNAcentral